UACAGAGGGUGCGAGCGUUAAUCGGAAUUACUGGGCGUAAAGCGCGCGUAGGCGGCUUUGCAAGUCGGGUGUGAAAUCCCCAGGCUUAACCUGGGAACUGCAUUCGAGACUGCAUUGCUAGAGUAUGGGAGAGGGAAGUGGAAUUUCCGGUGUAGCGGUGAAAUGCGUAGAUAUCGGAAGGAACAUCAGUGGCGAAAGCGACUUCCUGGAUCUCUUCUGACGCUGAGGCACGAAAGCUAGGGUAGCAAACGGG
This 253-nucleotide ribosomal RNA is filed under the name uncultured bacterium. RNAcentral describes it as "partial 16S ribosomal RNA". It matches the Rfam family "Bacterial small subunit ribosomal RNA", at positions 524 to 776 of the family's 1533-position model. The record is from RNAcentral.